RNAcentral lists this ribosomal RNA (253 nucleotides) under uncultured bacterium. RNAcentral describes it as "partial 16S ribosomal RNA". It matches the Rfam family "Bacterial small subunit ribosomal RNA", at positions 524 to 776 of the family's 1533-position model. The record is from RNAcentral.
UACAGAGGUCUCAAGCGUUGUUCGGAUUCAUUGGGCGUAAAGGGAGCGUAGGUGGCGGGGUUAGUCAGGUGUGAAAUCUCGGGGCUCAACCCCGAAACUGCACUUGAUACUGCCUUGCUAGAGUACUGGAGAGGAGACUGGAAUUUACGGUGUAGCGGUGAAAUGCGUAGAUAUCGUAAGGAAGACCAGUGGCGAAGGCGGGUCUCUGGACAGUUCCUGACGCUGAGGCACGAAGGUCAGGGGAGCAAACGGG